This 495-nucleotide ribosomal RNA is filed under the name uncultured bacterium. RNAcentral describes it as "partial 16S ribosomal RNA". It matches the Rfam family "Bacterial small subunit ribosomal RNA", at positions 28 to 507 of the family's 1533-position model. The record is from RNAcentral.
GACGAACGCUGGCGGCGUGCCUAAUACAUGCAAGUAGAACGCUGAAGGAGGAGCUUGCUUCUCUGGAUGAGUUGCGAACGGGUGAGUAACGCGUAGGUAACCUGCCUGGUAGCGGGGGAUAACUAUUGGAAACGAUAGCUAAUACCGCAUAAUAGCAGUUAUUGCAUGAUAACUGUUUGAAAGGUGCAAUUGCACCACUACCAGAUGGACCUGCGUUGUAUUAGCUAGUUGGUGGGGUAACGGCUCACCAAGGCGACGAUACAUAGCCGACCUGAGAGGGUGAUCGGCCACACUGGGACUGAGACACGGCCCAGACUCCUACGGGAGGCAGCAGUAGGGAAUCUUCGGCAAUGGACGGAAGUCUGACCGAGCAACGCCGCGUGAGUGAAGAAGGUUUUCGGAUCGUAAAGCUCUGUUGUAAGAGAAGAACGAGGGUGAGAGUGGAAAGUUCACACUGUGACGGUAUCUUACCAGAAAGGGACGGCUAACUACGUG